This is a long non-coding RNA of Musa acuminata AAA Group (dessert banana), 3961 nucleotides long. RefSeq lists it as uncharacterized. The record is from RefSeq and is a predicted model, not a curated record. NCBI's taxonomy places the organism in Eukaryota, Viridiplantae, Streptophyta, Magnoliopsida, Zingiberales, Musaceae. The transcript has 3 exons.
ACAUACUCUCAACUGAUGGCAAAGGAAGACACGAAAGCGAAGGGGCGUCUCGAACGAUGGGCGACUACGACGAGGGGGAAGUUAGCAGUGCCAUGGCGGCCCCUUGGCUUGGCUCAAAGAACGCCACAUCCGCCUCUUCCCACGGUCACUGACGAAAAGACCCCCGACAGGAGGAAGAAGGAGGAGCCCUCUCCCUCAUGAAAUGCUUCCUGCUAGUACGAUUUUGUCAAGGUUGAUUAAUCUCACAUCGGACCGGAAAAAAACAGGAAAGAAAAAGAAAAGCGACAUUUUGGUGAUUUAAUUUUUAAUUAUUGAUUCCAGUUUUCUAGAGUUUGAUGGUUAAUUGUUGCCGUCGGCUAGGUGAAAGUGUGGCUCCGGGGCAAUGCGGAUCACUAAUACGUUUUCUCCAAAUUUCUUCUUUGAAGAUGUCUUAACUCAUCCGACCUUCCGGUGAAGAUUAAUAAACGCAGUAGAUGAUCAUGUAGGCAAAACCUGACGACAUGCACCCUAAACUCAAGCCCGACACACUGUUCUGGGAUCCCUAUCAAAGGUACAGGUGGGAUCAACUCAAUUAAGGCGUGGAUGUAAUGGUGCAGAAUGUGUGUCGGCAGGGUUUGCCUGUAUUGAUAUAUAGCAUGUGGCAUUAGUCAUGUCCUAAAAUUACCAUGCUUGGCCUUCCUGUAACCUGUGAAAUCUAGCAAGCUGCAGAUUUCUGGUAGUGCUCAGUGAUUCCAAUUUACUUGCCUGCUAAAACAUUUCAUUGUUUAUUUUCAUGUAAAAGAUGCCAAGAUUUGGUUAUGCCUUGACCGAGUUUUUUCUUCUUGGGUUAAGUUCAGCGGUUAACUCUCGCCUGUAUCAUUUCUCUUUGGAUACUCAAAUAAUGCCCAAAAUAUCUCUAACCAACCUUAAUGAUAUUUAUAUUUAUUUUUUUCAUUAGUCUUUUUUAUCGUUUUGAACUAUUAAAGUGUUUUCAUUUGGCUCAUUUAUAGAGGUUUUCAAUAGUAUUAUAGUGUUUUUAUUAAAGUGUUGAAAACACCGGAAAGUUAUUGAAGAACACUGUAAAUAAUAUCAUAUUAUGUCUAUUUAGUUGUCAUUACUCGUAGAUCAUUACAGUAUCAUAUAUUUAGUUUUGUAGUUGGUUUGGUUGAGAUUAGUAUCAUUUAUAGUGUUUUCAAGUAUGUGUUUUUAUCGUAACGAUCAAAACAUAGGUCAGUUUUUUUAUCCCUAUUUAGGUGAUAUUUUAAAACUAUUAUAAAUAUCUAUUUGAUUGCAAGUAUGAUAUAUCAAAUAUUUUCUAGUGUGUAUUGAUUUCAUUUGGCUCACUUGUGUUUUUCAAUAGCAUCAUACAGUUUUUACUAUGGUGCUGAAAACACUUUUAAGCCAUUGAAAAAUAUUGUAAAUGAUAUCAUAUUACAUAUCUUUGGUUAUCAUCACUCAUAGAUCAUUACGGUACUAAAUUUUAGGCUUGAAGUUUGUGUGAUUGAGAUUACAAGUUUAUUUAUCAUUUAUAUUAUUUUUUAAGUAAGUUUUUAUAAUAUUUUUUAUUGUGAUGGUUAAAACACUGCAAUAGGCCAAAACAUUAUAAUAGAUCAAAACCCUAUAAUGGACAAGGAAAAAUAUUAUUGGGGUUGAUGAUGGAUAUUUUGAAUAUUACUUUAGACAGAGAAAAACGAAAGCAAACGAUACCUUUUGGGAAUAAAAAAUAAAAAUGAUAUUUUUUUUCAAAAAAGUCACCCCUCAAAAACAUCCAAAGAGAGUCCUAAUUUGAACUUUUCAAGAUGAUAAAAAUACCUUGCUGACAACUUGACAAUGUUAAUUUGUGAUUUAUUUUUUUUUAUCAAAAUCAAAGUAAAUCAAACCAAUCAUGUUGAUCCAAAUAAGUUAAAUAGAACUAUAGUGCCUUUGAUUGAAACGAUUUGGGUUAAAUACAAUUUCCAAAAACACUCCACCUUGUUGUAAAUAUUAUAGUUCGAUUUUAAUUAGUUUAAAUUUCUACCAACAAUAAUUAUCAAUUAUUUGAUAAAAUUUUAUAACAUUUAUCAUCAUCUAUCGUGAAAGUAUGAUAAUAAAAAAUAAGACAUUAUUCACUGAAUCGAAAACACUAUAAUUUUAUUAAAUUGUUAUUAUCGGUCUGGUUCAAUGUGGGAUCAGCUGAGCUAAAAAUCUGAUUCAGUUCAAAGUAGAUUCGGUAGAAACUUUUUAUUUUCUACAAUAAAGGCAUUUUGGUAUUUUUGCAAAGGGAAAGGAAAUACAGUAAUGGAAGUUGUGAUCCUGCAAAAAUGAGCUUUUUAUAGGGAAAUCACAUAUGUUAGGAAACUGAUUCACGAAACUCAAACAAUCUGAAUUCUGCAUGAAAUUUGUAUUCAUGGAAGCUGCUUGGCAGGGGCGGAGUCACAAGUCACAAAUUUGGUCGUUGUUGUCCCAAUGCUUUCUUUUAUUCGAUUGCUGUCACUUAUUGUGCAGCUUCAUCAGUAUCCAAUCACCUACCAUUUGGAUGGAGGUGACGGGGAUUCCGAUCGUUCAAUCCAUGGCGCCCAGGCGGCAUAGCAAAAGGAUUAAGAUUGAUGUAGCUUAUAAUCUGAACGUGGUAUCAGCAGACAUCGUUGCCGUCCAGAAGCUCUGGCCUGUUGGCAGCGGCAACCGCAGAGGCGGGCGGUUGGUUCUUGUGAUGGCGGAGGAGGAGCUCCUUCUGGCGGCGGAUCUCCAUGACCUUGCGAUGGGAGUUGGAGUGCUGGGUGAACACGAAGGCUGGACUGGCCACCGGUCGGUACUCCGGUAGGAGCCGCCCGGACUUGUACCUCACCCCGCACGCGUUGCACAGCGUCUUCGGCCCCAGUGGCCCCGUCCGCCACUGCGGCGUCUUCUCCGAUGCGCAGUGCAUGCACCGUCGCACUCCGCCCUCCGCUCCGACGCCCCAUCCGCUUUUCUUUCCUCUACUACCGCCAUUACUGCCGCCGCCUCUGCUGCUAAUACACUUAAUACCGAUGGAAUCAGGUUGGGAAGGUGGGAAAUCAGAAGAGGACGAGGACGAGGACGACGGCGAGGACUGCGGUGGUGGCGUUAACGAGGACCAAACCGUGGUAGGAUUGCUGCUCCUGGACCGCUUGCUUCUCGCUGCGUAACGUGCAACGCAUUGGUCCACGCCUAGCUGGUUGUCACCGGCAAUGCGUUGGUCCACUAAGAGCUGCUUGUCGCUGGCGGGGGUGGUAAGGCCGGUGUACUGGUAAGGGACGUCAGAGAAAGAGUCCUCCACGAACUGCGACAGCCAUUCCAGCUCCGCCGCCUCCUCGCUCUGCAGGAGAGGAGAAACAAAUCCAGACACAACGAAAGAGAACAGAAAGAAGUCGACUGGGUGUUCUUCGUGGACGUGCUCACCGGAACGUAGAGGUCGAAAGAUGAGUCUGUUUCUGCAGUUCCACCGGCAGUAAAGAAGUGGGUGUCAGCACCAAAAGCUGAGGGGAAGAGAUCGCGGCCGGAGAAGUCGAGGACGUCGGUGACGCGGAGAGCGUCAACGGCGGGUGGAAGGCCGUAAGGAUAAGCUGGAGCAGCAGCAUCUUGCUGCGGUGCAACAGUAGCUAAUGAAGCAGAGUAGGAGGAAGCUGGCGUUUUCAUUCCGAAGUCCAUAUCCAGCGUCAUCGCUUGCUUCCGCGCCAUUCAUGCCAGCAAAAAGAGGAGAAUUCCCUUCUCUCCUACAGCAACAAGCGACGAGAAAUAGUGAAGCUGGUUGUGGUAGCGAAACACAACUUGCGGGGGAAGCAAUAAAGCACUUGCAUUAUGGAACACACCGACGCCAACGUGGAUUAAUACGACUUCCUCUCAUGACAAACGAGAGCAACAUGGGAUAAUAGUACAUGUAUACAUAUAGUUCGCUCUCUUCGAGACAAAUGUACAUAUUACCACCGUCAACCCUCUUUACCUGUGUCCGCUGGAACACUUGUCCCAAAGAGGAUGACGUGGUUCA